Molecule: long non-coding RNA, 180 nt
Organism: Morus notabilis
Lineage: Eukaryota; Viridiplantae; Streptophyta; Magnoliopsida; Rosales; Moraceae
Exons: 3
Source: RefSeq, a predicted model, not a curated record
AGGUACAAUCUUAUUGGAGUCUUACAGUGUUAUUCACAAAAGAUAUCAAUAUAAAUAAUGAACCUCCUUAGCUAUGCUUAAUAGUGACGGAAACUACUGGGUGUAUCUUCUAAUUCUGGCGGUAUGCUAUUGGAUAUUGUCAUGGUUUAUGUUUUAAGGUGAUGCAGCAGUGGUGUUCAA